This 152-nucleotide microRNA precursor is filed under the name Podarcis lilfordi (Lilford's wall lizard). Lineage: Eukaryota; Metazoa; Chordata; Lepidosauria; Squamata; Lacertidae. The record is from RNAcentral.
AUUUAGUGAGCUGAGUGGGGAGGAGAGAGGGACAGAGAGUCUGCUUGCUUUAAAGGAGCCAACCAGACAGGAGUUCCCCUCCUCUCCCGCUUUGGUCCUUUAAAGAAGCAGGCUCUCUGUCCCUCUCUCCUCCCCACUCAGCGGCUCUUCUC